Passer montanus (Eurasian tree sparrow) is the source of this 558-nucleotide long non-coding RNA. RefSeq lists it as uncharacterized. The transcript is spliced from 3 exons. The record is from RefSeq and is a predicted model, not a curated record. NCBI's taxonomy places the organism in Eukaryota, Metazoa, Chordata, Aves, Passeriformes, Passeridae.
AAUGAAGGAACAGUGAUUGAAAAAACAUGAACAAGUCUGAGUAAGAUAUUUUUUGUGAAGAAUCUCUUUGAGCACGUAGCCCUCUCCUGCUCCAACUGCCCUAUAACUGAGGUCUAUCUCAGGCUGAGUUCAAAAAAGGAUGUUGCACUCUAGGGUCAUCAGCUUUCAUCAGCUCUGCUCCAGAAGUGUGAGGAGUAUCUCUUGAGCUCAGUAUCUGGUGAUCCAACAGACCUUUAAGGUAUAUUCCAGUCUCUUGUAAGAUCACCAGAGGAAUUAAUCUGAAGAAUUCAUCUGACUUCCAUCAGUCCUGUUUGUAGCAAGGGAACAAAAUGUGGGCACUUUUGAUUCACUCAGAUGUUAUAGUAAGAGGAAACUGCCAGAGAUCAAAAUGAGUGCCUGUAUGCAUACUGUGCAUAUAGUACAAUUUGGAUGCCAUUUUCUCUGAAGUGCGUGUCUUCUGCUGUCCUUCAUCAUACCCAUGAUCCCCAAGAAGCUGUGUUUCCUACUGCAGGCAGUACAAUAAGGUCCUGUGUCUGCCCCAUGUCUGUGUCUUAGGUA